This 137-nucleotide ribosomal RNA is filed under the name uncultured bacterium. RNAcentral's name for it is "partial 16S ribosomal RNA". The record is from RNAcentral.
GCACGAAGUUAGCCGGGGCUUCUUCUGCGGGUACCGUCAUUAUCGUCCCCGCCGAAAGGGCUUUACAACCCUAGGGCCUUCAUCACUCACGCGGCAUGGCUGGAUCAGGCUUGCGCCCAUUGUCCAAUAUUCCCCAC